UGAAAAUUAUAAUCCAAAGCUGUCAGAUUCCAACUGUGUAAACCAUGUUGCUAGAUCGGGUUAUACCGGGGAGCAUGAAAAGUUGGCAUACGGUUAUAUUGCUACAGAGUUGUUUUUUAGUAGCAGAGUCUCUUUCAAAACCGAUGUCUAUAGUUUUGGUGUUGUUUUGGUUGAGUUGAUCUCUGGGCGGAAGGCAAUUGAUAGAACCCGAACCAGCGGUGAAAUCUGUAUGGCUUUAUGGGCACGACGGUUACUCCGUAGUAAGAAGUUCAAAGAAAUAGCUGACCCGCUCAUGAAAGGACAGUAUCCAUAUCGCGGACUUGUCCAAGCUCUUGGGCUUGUGAAGAUGUGUAUACAUCGAAAGUUUAUCAAAAGACCUCCUAUAGCAGAAGUUGUGACUACUCUUUCGAAAAUAGCCUCACAAAUUUACGAAGAAGAACGGGGUACAACCGAAGCUGGUGUACAACGGAAUCUGGUCAAUUUACUCCAUCAACCAUGCUGCAGGACACAAGUAGUAGUAGAGUAGGUUAAAUUAGGAGGUAAGUGGUUUAGUAAAGUUACUGUAAAAUGAUGUGGGACUGCUGUAUAAUGGUUGAUAAUUCAAACCCGACCUUUCUGUAAUGAAGUUACUCUUUUAUUAGGCUGGAAUUUGUUGGUAA
Long non-coding RNA from Papaver somniferum (opium poppy), 659 nucleotides. RefSeq lists it as uncharacterized. The record is from RefSeq and is a predicted model, not a curated record. NCBI's taxonomy places the organism in Eukaryota, Viridiplantae, Streptophyta, Magnoliopsida, Ranunculales, Papaveraceae. The transcript has 2 exons.